This 412-nucleotide RNase P RNA is filed under the name Candidatus Terrybacteria bacterium RIFCSPHIGHO2_01_FULL_48_17. Its description in RNAcentral is "RNase P RNA component class A". It matches the Rfam family "Bacterial RNase P class A". Rfam says of the family: Ribonuclease P (RNase P) is a ubiquitous endoribonuclease, found in archaea, bacteria and eukarya as well as chloroplasts and mitochondria. RNAcentral also lists the same sequence under 1 other name. Lineage: Bacteria; Candidatus Terryibacteriota. The record is from RNAcentral.
GUAGCGCGUUUGGUGACUGCGCGACUCGUUGAAAAACGAGAGUGAGGAAAGUCCGAACACUCCUGUCGUAAGACAUGGAAGCGAGAAGUGGGUAACGCCCACCCUUCGACAAAGUUAGGGCAGACCGCCUUGAAUGUGUUGGAGAGGGAAAGUACCACAGAGACAAUUCUGCCGAACGGCCCGAAAGGGUGCGUGGCGAUGGUGAAAAGAGGUGGGGUAAGAGCCCACAGUCGUGGCUGGUGACAGUCGCGAGUGGAAAACCCUUCUCAGUGCAAGGCCGUGCUCCGAUGUUCAUCGGAGAGUGCCGCAAAGAGCCGUCUAGCAAUAGGCGAGCCAAGACAGAUGGUUGCCCUCGCUCAAGUUUUCUAAAACUCGGGCGGGACAGAAUUCGGCUUAUGAACGCGCUGCGCUU